RNAcentral lists this long non-coding RNA (218 nucleotides) under Ananas comosus (pineapple). RNAcentral's name for it is "long non-coding RNA (ACOM_LNC038292)". Lineage: Eukaryota; Viridiplantae; Streptophyta; Magnoliopsida; Poales; Bromeliaceae. The record is from RNAcentral.
UAUAUGUAAGGGUUUUUGGUAUAAAGUUUUGAAUUUAAAGAUUUCGAGGGGUAUUAAUAACAAUUACAUAGAGAGAGAGAGAGAGAGAGAGGUAUUAAUGAUAAUUAUAUUAUAUUGUAAAUUUUGGAGAGAUAUUUAUGAUAUUUUUAAAUUUAAAAAAAUAGAUUUAAAAUUAUUGUUUAGAUAAAUAGAUAGGUGAGAUGUGUUAUAUACACUAU